GUGAGGAAUAUUGGUCAAUGGACGAGAGUCUGAACCAGCCAAGUCGCGUGAAGGAAGACGGUUCUAUGAAUUGUAAACUUCUUUUGUGCAGGAAUAAAGUGGGUUACGUGUAACCUUUUGUAUGUACUGUACGAAUAAGGAUCGGCUAACUCCGUGCCAGCAGCCGCGGUAAUACGGAGGAUCCGAGCGUUAUCCGGAUUUAUUGGGGUUAAAGGGUGCGUAGGUGGAUUGAUAAGUCAGCGGUGAAAGUUUGCAGCUUAACUGUAAAAUUGCCGUUGAAACUGUCGGUCUUGAGUGCAAAUGAGGUAGGCGGAAUGUGUUGUGUAGCGGUGAAAUGCUUAGAUAUAACACAGAACUCCGAUUGCGAAGGCAGCUUACUGGGAUGCAACUGACACUGAUGCACGAAAGCGUGGGUAUCAAACAGGAUUAGAAACCCCUGUAGUCC
This 445-nucleotide ribosomal RNA is filed under the name uncultured bacterium. RNAcentral's name for it is "partial 16S ribosomal RNA". It matches the Rfam family "Bacterial small subunit ribosomal RNA", at positions 354 to 796 of the family's 1533-position model. The record is from RNAcentral.